GGGUCAGUAGGUUGGUCGUGCCACCGGUACGUACUGGUCUCACUGAUUCCUCCUUCCUGAAGAACCGUAAUGCCAUUAAUUUGGUGUUGCGGGGAAACAGGACUGUUACUUUGAAAAAAUUAGAGUGUUUAAAGCAAGCUAACGCUUGAAUACAUUAGCAUGGGAUAAUGAAAUAGGGCGAUCGAUCCUAUUUUGUUGGUUUCUAGGAUUGACGUA
Molecule: ribosomal RNA, 216 nt
Filed under: Glomeromycotina sp.
Lineage: Eukaryota; Fungi; Glomeromycota
Description: partial small subunit ribosomal RNA
Rfam family: Eukaryotic small subunit ribosomal RNA (bases 40-216)
Source: RNAcentral